This is a long non-coding RNA of Pyrus x bretschneideri (Chinese white pear), 771 nucleotides long. RefSeq lists it as uncharacterized. The record is from RefSeq and is a predicted model, not a curated record. Lineage: Eukaryota; Viridiplantae; Streptophyta; Magnoliopsida; Rosales; Rosaceae. The transcript is spliced from 2 exons.
CUCCCGAAAUACAUUCUAUUCGAAAUUAGACUACAUCCAACCGUAUGUGAUUAAAUUUGGAGCAAUGUAUUAGAAUGAAGUUAAGCGAUCUCCAACCGAUUCGGUCAAAGGUUAAAAUAACUUAAAAUGACACUGAAAAUCAUCUACAACUAAAGACUAUGCCACAGAGCUGGUAGGUCCCACCGGGACCAAAAAAGAUGAAUCAAACCAAUUGCCUAGUCCCAAAGGAGCUAGCCAGCUAGCCCCGGGCUGACUUCCUCCAUCUCCCAAACACGUUCCGUACAGUGUCCAUCUCCCCAACGAGUAUCGCAAAACCUCUGUGUCUUGUGAAAGAGACCUGAAACAAGGCCGUAUCGCCCGGCGCACGAGCUGACUGUGCCGUUGCUGGGGAAGACGAUUAUGAAGAUCUUGGACCGGGCGACGGAUUAUGCGGCGUAAGUGCUGUUGUCGCUGUGCUAGAAUACCUCGCCGUUGAGGUGUUGGAGCUCGCUGGAAACGCUGCAAGGGACAACAACAAGAACCGCAUUAUUCGUGGCCCGAGAGCCCUUUGGAAAUUUCACUCUUUUUUUUUUUUUUUUCUUUUUUUUUUCUUUUUCUCAUUAAUUUUCUUAAUCUCUACUUUUCAGAUUUUUAGUAGGAAAAAAGGAAAAGGAAAGUGAAAAUUGAGGUUGUAGAUUAUUGGUAUAUAAAAAUAUUGUAAUUUUUUGUGUAUUUUGUAUGUAAGCAUUUUUGUUUAGAUUAUUGGUAUAUAAAAAUAUUGUAAUUUUCUGU